RNAcentral lists this ribosomal RNA (253 nucleotides) under uncultured bacterium. RNAcentral describes it as "partial 16S ribosomal RNA". It matches the Rfam family "Bacterial small subunit ribosomal RNA", at positions 524 to 776 of the family's 1533-position model. The record is from RNAcentral.
UACGUAGGUGGCAAGCGUUGUCCGGAAUUACUGGGUGUAAAGGGCGUGUAGGCGGGGAUGCAAGUCAGAUGUGAAACCCCACGGCUCAACUGUGGGCUUGCAUCUGAAACUGUAUUUCUUGAGUGUUGGAGAGGGAAGUGGAAUUCCUAGUGUAGCGGUGAAAUGCGUAGAGAUUAGGAGGAACACCAGUGGCGAAGGCGACUUCCUGGCCAACAACUGACGCUGAGGCGCGAAAGCGUGGGGAGCAAACAGG